Molecule: ribosomal RNA, 497 nt
Filed under: uncultured bacterium
Lineage: Bacteria
Description: partial 16S ribosomal RNA
Rfam family: Bacterial small subunit ribosomal RNA
Source: RNAcentral
GAUGAACGCUGGCGGCGUGCCUAAUACAUGCGAGUCGAGCGAACGGACGAGAAGCUUGCUUCUCUGAUGUUAGCGGUGGACGGGUGAGUAACACGUGGAUAACCUACCUAUAAGACUGGGAUAACUUCGGGAAACCGGAGCUAAUACCGGAUAAUAUUUUGAACAGCAUGGUUCAAAAGUGAAAGACGGUCUUGCUGUCACUUAUAGAUGGAUCCGCGCUGCAUUAGCUAGUUGGUAAGGUAACGGCUUACCAAGGCAACGAUGCAUAGCCGACCUGAGAGGGUGAUCGGCCACACUGGAACUGAGACACGGUCCAGACUCCUACGGGAGGCAGCAGUAGGGAAUCUUCCGCAAUGGGCGAAAGCCUGACGGAGCAACGCCGCGUGAGUGAUGAAGGUCUUCGGAUCGUAAAACUCUGUUAUUAGGGAAGAACAUAUGUGUAAGUAACUGUGCACAUCUUGACGGUACCUAAUCAGAAAGCCACGGCUAACUACGUG